UACGAAGGGGGCGAGCGUUGUUCGGAAUUACUGGGCGUAAAGCGUGCGUAGACGGUUAUUUAAGUCGGAUGUGAAAGCCCCGGGCUCAACCUGGGAAUUGCAUUCGAGACUGAAUAGCUAGGGUGCGGUAGAGGGAAGCGGAAUUUCCGGUGUAGCGGUGAAAUGCGUAGAUAUCGGAAGGAACAUCAGUGGCGAAAGCGGCUUCCUGGACCAGCACCGACGUUCAGGCACGAAAGCGUGGGGAGCAAACAGG
Molecule: ribosomal RNA, 253 nt
Filed under: uncultured bacterium
Lineage: Bacteria
Description: partial 16S ribosomal RNA
Rfam family: Bacterial small subunit ribosomal RNA
Source: RNAcentral